GUGAGUUCUAUCAUUAAGGGUUUGAGAUUGUACCUUAAUACUUGAUAGCUAAGAGGGAACUCGGUGUAAAUCCGAGACGGAUUCCGCCACUGUAAAUGAAGAGCAGCAUUGGGCAAGCGCAACCAUUGGUUUUAUCCGAGAAGGUUAAUGCUGUAUUGAGGCAUAAGUCAGGAGACCUGCUCAUAAUACGGACGAAAG
Molecule: non-coding RNA, 198 nt
Organism: Eubacterium infirmum F0142
Lineage: Bacteria; Bacillati; Bacillota; Clostridia; Peptostreptococcales; Anaerovoracaceae
Source: Rfam